Molecule: long non-coding RNA, 2715 nt
Organism: Arvicola amphibius (Eurasian water vole)
Lineage: Eukaryota; Metazoa; Chordata; Mammalia; Rodentia; Cricetidae
Exons: 3
Source: RefSeq, a predicted model, not a curated record
GCAAUAGGCUGUGUUGUGUUUUGCAGCCAUUGGACUAAUGGGUACUUAUGACCAAAUCUGUGUGUGUGUGUGUGUGUGUGUGUUUGUGUUGUGUGUGCAUGUGUGUGCACAUACUACACAUGCAUAUGUACAUGCAUGCAUGUCUUCACUUUAGAAUACAGAUGAAAGUUUGAGGGAUCAUUUGGACUUUUGCCAUGCAUGUAUCUAUCACAACUUUCAUUCAUCCCCUUUAGAGUUGAGAAUUUCCUUUCCUUUUUGCCUUGUUUUAAUUCAUCAUAUCUUUGCUAGUUAUAUAUCUGUGGAUCUCAAAUUUCAUAAGUGAUUAGCAAUCCUGAAAAUAGGUACAGUUUAAGAAACUAGUAUUUAGGGAGGGUCAGUUCCUAAAGUGUGCAGUCGGGGGAUGGUUUUCCAUGAUCCAGACUUAGAUCUAAUUCCAAGGCUAGUAAGUCUUUAUGUAACGGCCCAUGUGAAGUGGAUUCUUACUUGAGGACAAGCUACUAAACACAGGCUCUUGGAGCUAGUCAUUUGGUCUCCAGGGCCUGCCUAUCAAGUUUAUGGAGGGGUUAUUCCACCAAAUUCUUAGCACAUAGUUUUCCAAACUCUGGGGUGAUCCUUGCACUUAAUUUCUCUUACCUGACAUUCAAUGAUUCUGCCUUUUUUUAGGAGACAGGUGGCCUGAAACCACAUACCAGGAGGCGAAACACUCUUAGGUGUUGGAGGUUGAAUUCCCAGAGUUAAUCUUCCUGCCUCUGGGGAGCCACACAAAUCCAUAGCAAAACAGAACAUAAAAUAACAAGUUUAUUAAUAGCUGAGCAAGCUCUGAAAGCCUCACUGCAAAAACAGGGGUCAUGGUUGUUUUAUCGUGGGUCUGGAUUUGAGGCUGUGAGUUCAGCUUUGGGGAGGAACAUGCUUGAAUUGGUGAAGCAGAACCCAAGCUUGCCUAAACAAUCACAAGAACGAGGGUAACUGCCUGAGUCUUCAUGCCAGACAAGUCACCUGUGGAAGAAAAACUGAUGGAUAUGUCUCACCAAUGCCAAGAUGACUGUUGCUGCAAGACAGGGUCUUGAAUCACUUCUUUUGGACGACACGGCCUAGCGGUGGUGGUGGGAGCUGUCUUCAAAGAGUCAGUCUUUAUAUUUUGAAAGAAGCAGCUAAGACCCUUGAAAAGAAAACAUGCGUCACGCAAAAAGUCUCUUUUAAAAAGACAAUGAAAAAUUAAAUUACACAGGACAAUCAGCUGCCAGAAAUGUGUCACUGCAAGCAGUCCUGCACAUUUCAUGAAACAUCUUAUUUGGAUAAAACUUAAAUUAUUACCACACCAGUCUCUGCACACUCCCCUCCAACCCCUGUUCUUUUCCAAGAAUAGCCGUAACCAAGCUUGACAAACUACUGAUUUCACCAAAGCACUUUCAAUGCCUGUUAGACAUCAGAGCGAAGUAGAGGAGGAGGACCGAAGAACACGGUGGUGCUUGAGAGAGAAGUUUCUGGGAUCUGAGACACACAAAGACCUUCCUCCGUGUACUCCUCCCUAAUUGGCUGGCAGAUCAAUAAGGGGCACCUGGCAUAGAAAGUGUGUAGGAUUUCCCUCCCGUUUUGCUUUUAUUUGUCUCUCCUCACGCAAGGUCAGUGACAAAGCGGAGCUCUGGACAUUGGAGUCUGAUGACCACCACAAACUUUCUAGGCGUAGGAAUAAACAACCCAAUGACUAGUAUACAGGGUUAGAGGGGAUACAACAUGGAACAUUGAGGUGCUUACCAACAGAGGAGAGACAGGGAGGUAUCACUCACUGGAGGAGGGGGAAAGGCUGUUACCUCUGGACUGUGAACCAGGUGGCAUGUGAGCCGAUUUCCAAAGAUAGGGAAGAUCAUGUAUGUCAUAGACAUGCAGGUGGGAAGAGAGGUAUUUUUAGUAUCCAAAAAAAUUGUGGUUGGUUCAUUCCAGGCCCAGGGAAUGAAAAAAUGGAGGGAUAACGAAGUCUUUGGGGGUGGGAAUGCCCAAGGGCCUGGCACAUGCAGUGAGAGACAAGGGCAGCCAGUGACAGAAAAAUGGAAAGGACAGUUUGAUGUGGUGAGAACCUAGAUUCAAAAUGAGUCCCUUGUCCCACCCCCCCAUUUAUGGUGUAAUCUUGAGCAUGUCUGUCCACCCUUCUGAGUUUUGUGUUCUCCAUUAAGCGUGAAGGCAAGGAUGCUUGCCUUUUGGCAUGGUAAUCUUACUCGCUGAUACACUGGAAGCGUUAGAAGGAUGCUUGGCUCAAAGUAACUGCUCAGAACAUUUGGAAGCCUUGUCUGGCUCUCAUGGAAAAUGCUAGAAACUGUUAGGAUGGGAAGCCAAGCAGGGCUGAUCUUAGCUGGCCUUGUUAUCACAAUUUGGACCAUACGCCUUAGCAUUUCCACUAUGUGUUCUUGGACAUGGAUGCUAGUCUCUUCGGGCUUCUAUUUUCUCAUCUGGAUUGGAAGAUUGCUCAUUAGAAAUAGACUUUAUCCUCUGUGGCCCUCACAUUCCAACCUUGACGCACAAAGGGAAGAGUUUACAUUCUCUUCUCUUCCCAGAGCCAAGUGGAACAUUCACAAGCUCUAUCUCGUCUCUGCUAGACCUCUCUGGAACAACAAAGAAGUCUCUAAUGUGCUGUCCAGUGGAGGAUAACAAUCCCAUCUUCUGCUCUGUGUUCCAGUUUCCCCAUCUAUUCCAGGGUAGCUGUUGGUUUGGCUAGCACAU